Molecule: long non-coding RNA, 3570 nt
Filed under: Linum usitatissimum (flax)
Lineage: Eukaryota; Viridiplantae; Streptophyta; Magnoliopsida; Malpighiales; Linaceae
Description: long non-coding RNA (LUSI_LNC005080)
Source: RNAcentral
AUCGACGUAACACUUGAGCACAGCGAAGAGAAAAGUCGGCAGACAUUCUUAAUCUCCAAGCUCAGGACUUCAGCAAGUAAAACUCACGCCUCUCACACCAGUGUAAGUGAAAACCACAACUGCGGAGUUUAUUAAAUCUUUCAGCUUUUCACUCCUGCAAUCGUAUCUCAGCAGCUUCACCUUUGUCCUUUUUAUCGAGUUGAGAAUUUAGCUCCUUCCAAAAUCACUGGAGAACCACUUUUCUUUUUCCUAGAAUUUUUAUUGUUAGAUGUUUUUGGUAAUAAUACAAGAUUUAACUAUUUAACAGUGCUGGCUUCUGGACAAUGAAUGAGAGAGCUGGCAAUGCAGGAGGAGGAUUCUGUUUCUGCUGCUGAUGCUGCUUAGGACAUGUGGGUUCUACCGUUCUACUAUGGCCACAGUUGCAGCAGAAAGAGAGAAAAAAAAAGGUCUACUUUUUUUUAACUCUGUUUGAAUCAUCCUCUCUGGUUAUUUCAAUGUCAUGUAUGGUUUUUAGUUUUAUAGACAUCAUGAAAAAAUAACAAUAAUGAACAGAAAGCUUCUGUCCCACAAUAUUACACACGGUACAGUCGAAAUAGGAUUACAAAAGGACGCUGGGAGAAAGAAGGGAACCCUUCUUAUUCACUCAAACCCACUUGCAACAUACAAUUCAUUCAUAUAUUCCCACACUUUAAUUGGUGAUGGCACAUCCUUAUCCUUCCUUCAAAUUUAUAACUAAUACACCCCGUUAAUUACUUCUUCUGAUAGAGUUUAUGUAUACCAGUGUUCUCUAUCAGAACCUUUUUUUUAUAACACAACCAUUUAGUCCAUUCUUAUCUGGCUCCUGCUUCUCCUCCUCACAGCUCUAACACCAGAUCUGCAAACAAGAGUUUACAUGAUGUUCAUAUGCCUGUUUUAGUUCCAUCAAUUAUGUACUGUGGACAAUGCAGGAUAAUGAUAUGGAGAUUUCUAGUCUAAUUGUUUAGUUCUGUUCUUACUCAGUUCCAGACCUAAGCCUAGUCAGUAAUUAGAGACCAAGUAUAGCAUAUACAUACACUGUGCAUCUGUCUUGAUCCAGCAUUCCCGGCUCCCGUUGGAGUCGAAGUCGUCCAUACCAAACUCCACUGGAUUUGGUUGACUCCCUCGAACUCCAUUCCCAUUCCUCUCUCCUCCUUCAUUCAUGUUCUGCCCCUUCUUCUUGUUCUUUUUCUCCUUGUUCUUCUCGGAUUUGGUUCCUUUCUUCCCAGCUGGUGUUGCCUGUCCUGGUUCUAGAUUCUCCGGAUGAACUUUCCUGUAAAACAUUCGCUUGAUCUGCAAUCUAAAAUGUCAGAUAAUAUAGUAUACAUCAUAAGGUUACACAUUUAGAAUCAUGAUUUCUCAGAAAAUUGAGUUGAGGUUAGUGAAAAAAGUUGAGUUCAGGCUGGGAGGGAUUGUAGAAGGAUAGUUGAUUUAAUGGAUAUAAAUAAUUCCUAGGAAAAAUUUAGUUUCCCUUAGCAUGGAAAACAAAAUUCCACUUGGAAUCUUUUAUAUCGCUCCACUCAAUACAACUUUGGUAGAUAUCAUAAUUCUAGACGUCCGUUAACUAUGAUUCAGUAGUUGCUUUUGAGGAAAUUAUAUAGUGAACAAACCUUGUGCAGUUUGGUCUCAGCUGGAUUUCCAUAAUCAGAGGAAUCAUUGGAAUUCUUGGAACAAGCAUGGAGAAGUUUCUUCUUAAGCAUCUUCUUCAUCAGCUGGAUAUGGAGAAGCUUCUUCUCUCCUUCCUUCUCAUGAUUCCGCUUUUCGUCUUCUCUACCGAUCUCCCCCCAUUUCCCUCCACCACCAUUAUUCUCCUCAGCCAACUUAUUCCUCUGGAACAGCUCCCCAAGUGAAGUCCUAUUCCCCUCUUUCUUUACAGUAGUAGUAGUCGUCUCUGCCGGAAUCUCCACUGCAGACCCGAACAGAUACUCUUGCAGAGGGCAAACUGCAUUGCUUUCUCUCCCUUCAAACAAUGCCUUUCCACUCAGAGUAAUCGUGCUCCCUUGGCUGCUUCUCCCUCCACUCACGUGGCUGUUUCUUGCUGAAAUGUCAUUGUUCCAGCUGCUUUCCUGAGCUAUUAGUACCUUCUCAAGCUCAUCAUUGAUCAGUUUCAGCUCGUUCUCAGUUGCUUCAUGAUCCUCAGUCUCUUGCUCCGUGAUGUUCUCCAACCCAAUUGCAAACGUUGGUGUUGCUGGUGGAUUGGUGCCGGUUGGGUCGGAACCAAGCGUUCCAAUGGCUAGGAAUCCAUGGAAAAGCUCUGACAUUUCAUCUGCAUAGUACUCUUCAUCUCCUUCUCCUAAUUCAGCUUUCAUACCCAGUAGAUUCUCCCUGGAGAACUGCAUGUAUGUUCUGUUCCCAUAGUUUUUCUUUUGGAACGUCUCUUGCUCAUCGAUCGAUGGCUGCGCCGUAAGGCAAUUGUAGGCUUGCCCUGAAGGUUUUGCACAGGAAGAAAUAUCAAAUAUGUUCAUCCAAAGAGAAGAAAAGAAUAUCACCAGAAAGGUAAUAUCGCCAAAAAAUAUACAUAUAGAAAGGAUCUUAUAGUACCAACGCAGAAAUCCUUGAGAGGUUGUUCAUUGCUAUUCUGCCGCAACUUGCGGUGCAUCCAAUCAAGUAACUAAAAUGAAUGCAACAAAGGGAAUUAUAAGUUAAGAAAGUUGUGCAUCCAUUCUUUCAAAGGAAAUACAGUGAAGUUUGGGACUUUCACCUUCAUCUUUGUUUCUCCUGCCGAUCAGAAAACCUGAAACACUGUCCAAUGUCUAUAAAAUUGCAAAUUAUUAAUAACAAAGAAGAAGGCUGAAACUGUUGGUAGAACAUGAUGGAUGCAUAAACACAUCACUUUCCAAAAGGGAACUCUGAAGAAGGAUGUUGGAAGAGAAAAUACACAGAGAUGGUUACAAACGAUUUGGGUUUGGUCACUUUUGUUGUCAAGUUCAAAUCACAUGGCCAAAUGGUACUGUGGGGUCCUCAGAGAAGAGAGCAGAGAAGAAAAGAAAUGGAAAUCAUUGGAUAUAGAUCUUAUGUAAUCAAUCAUUCUGCAGUUGAUAUGGCUGUUUCACCUUAAUUUUUAAUUUCAUGUAUUUGAUUACUACAUUGUUUAUCUGUUUCUUAAUCAGCGGUAAUGGAACAUCUGGCCUUCCCUCAGGUUGCUGUCGUACGUAGUCUUGUUGUAUGAUUACGACUCUUAUCUGAUUGUUUGGACUCGCAAAAAGCAUGCUGCAAAAGAGAAACCGACCUGCGUGGCUCUGUAAGUUAGAAGCUCUGACCAGCGACUGUACUACCAGAAUCAUGCUUACUACUGGAUGUAAUUAUGUUGAACAGUAUAGUGUUACUCAAUUGGUAUCCUGAUGAGAUACCGAAAUCAGGAAGAGGAGGCUGCAGGUACAGAACAGACACUUACCUAUGUGAUAUCAUGCAACCUUAAAUUCACAACAUUGUAAAGCAAUGCCUGCAUGCAUGCAUAUGAUGAUCUUCUUAGUUAGGAGUUGCUUGGGUGAGAGUUUUGAUAUAUAUGUAUGUGUUUAUAAUAACUAGAGAUUUAAAAAUAAAAAUGAAACUGGU